GGCGGACGGGUGAGUAACACGUGGGUAACCUGCCUGUAAGAUUGGGAUAACUCCGGGAAACCGGAGCUAAUACCGGAUAACAUUUUGAACCGCAUGGUUCAAAGUUGAAAGACGGCUUUUAGCUGUCACUUACAGAUGGACCCGCGGCGCAUUAGCUAGUUGGUGAGGUAACGGCUCACCAAGGCGACGAUGCGUAGCCGACCUGAGAGGGUGAUCGGCCACACUGGGACUGAGACACGGCCCAGACUCCUACGGGAGGCAGCAGUAGGGAAUCUUCCGCAAUGGACGAAAGUCUGACGGAGCAACGCCGCGUGAACGAUGAAGGCCUUCGGGUCGUAAAGUUCUGUUGUUAGGGAAGAACAAGUACCAGAGUAACUGCUGGUACCUUGACGGUACCUAACCAGAAAGCCACGGCUAACUACGUGCCAGCAGCCGCGGUAAUACGUAGGUGGCAAGCGUUGUCCGGAAUUAUUGGGCGUAAAGCGCGCGCAGGCGGUUUCUUAAGUCUGAUGUGAAAGCCCACGGCUCAACCGUGGAGGGUCAUUGGAAACUGGGGAACUUGAGUGCAGAAGAGGAGAGUGGAAUUCCACGUGUAGCGGUGAAAUGCGUAGAGAUGUGGAGGAACACCAGUGGCGAAGGCGACUCUCUGGUCUGUAACUGACGCUGAGGCGCGAAAGCGUGGGGAGCGAACAGGAUUAGAUACCCUGGUAGUCCACGCCGUAAACGAUGAGUGCUAAGUGUUAGAGGGUUUCCGCCCUUUAGUGCUGCAGCAAACGCAUUAAGCACUCCGCCUGGGGAGUACGGUCGCAAGACUGAAACUCAAAGGAAUUGACGGGGGCCCGCACAAGCGGUGGAGCAUGU
Molecule: ribosomal RNA, 861 nt
Filed under: metagenome
Description: bacterial SSU rRNA
Rfam family: Bacterial small subunit ribosomal RNA
Source: RNAcentral